Molecule: ribosomal RNA, 484 nt
Filed under: uncultured bacterium
Lineage: Bacteria
Description: partial 16S ribosomal RNA
Rfam family: Bacterial small subunit ribosomal RNA
Source: RNAcentral
AAUGAACGCUGGCGGCGGGCCUAACACAUGCAAGUCGAGCGGACGCAGGGGGCUUGCCCCCGGAUGCAGCGGCGGACGGGUGGGUAAUGCCCAUGUAUAUGCCUUAUAGUUGGGGAUAACGUCCGGAAACGGGCGCUGAUACCGCAUAGGACCAGAUAUAGAAAGAGGGGGAUCUUCGGUCCUCGCCGGUUUUGAUGAGCCUAGUUCGGAUUAGCUAGUUGGUGUGGUAAGUGCCUACCGAGGCGACGAACCGUAACUGGUCUGAGAGGAUGAUCAGUCACACGGGAACUGAGACACGGUCCAGACUCCUACGGGAGGCAGCAGUAGGGAAUCUUGCGCAAUGGGCGAAAGCCUGAUCCAGCAAUGCCGCGUGAGUGAUGAAGGUCUUCGGAUCGUAAAGCGCUUUAAGUUGGGAGGAAGGACAGUAAGUUAAGAUCUGGAUGUUUUGACGGUACCAAAAGAAUAAGCCCCGGCUAACUACGUG